AUUGAACGCUGGCGGCAUGCCUUACACAUGCAAGUCGAACGGCAGCACGGGUGCUUGCACCUGGUGGCGAGUGGCGAACGGGUGAGUAAUAUAUCGGAACGUACCUUAUUGUGGGGGAUAACGCAGCGAAAGCUGUGCUAAUACCGCAUAAUCCCUAAGGGGGAAAGCGGGGGACCGUAAGGCCUCGCGCAAUUAGAGCGGCCGAUACCUGAUUAGCUAGUUGGUUCGGUAAGGGCUCACCGAGGCAACGACCAGUAGCUGGUCUGAGAGGACGAUCAGCCACACUGGGGAGGAGACACGGCCCAGACUCCUACGGGAGGCAGCAGUGGGGAAUUUUGGACAAUGGGCGCAAGCCUGAUCCAGCAAUGCCGCGUGCAGGAAGAAGGCCUUCGGGUUGUAAACUGCUUAUGUACGGAACGAAACGGUCCUGGUUAAUACCCGGGGCUAAUGACGGUACCGUAAGAAUAAGCACCGGCUAACUACGUGCCAGCCGCCGCCGUAA
This 502-nucleotide ribosomal RNA is filed under the name uncultured bacterium. RNAcentral's name for it is "partial 16S ribosomal RNA". It matches the Rfam family "Bacterial small subunit ribosomal RNA", at positions 30 to 523 of the family's 1533-position model. The record is from RNAcentral.